Cervus elaphus (red deer) is the source of this 202-nucleotide long non-coding RNA. RefSeq lists it as uncharacterized. NCBI's taxonomy places the organism in Eukaryota, Metazoa, Chordata, Mammalia, Artiodactyla, Cervidae. The transcript is spliced from 3 exons. The record is from RefSeq and is a predicted model, not a curated record.
UGUUGUUCAGUUGCUAAGCUAUGUCCAACUCUUUGUGACCCUAUGGAUGCAGUAUGCUAGACUUCCCUGUUGUUCAAUAUCUCCCAGAUUUUGCUCAAACCCAUGUCCAUUGAGUCAUUGAUGCCAUUCAACCAUCUCAUCCUCUGUCAUCCCCUUCUCCUCCUGCAAUCAAUCUUUCCCAACAUCAGGGUCUUUUCAAAUG